RNAcentral lists this ribosomal RNA (818 nucleotides) under uncultured bacterium. RNAcentral describes it as "bacterial SSU rRNA". It matches the Rfam family "Bacterial small subunit ribosomal RNA", at positions 1 to 808 of the family's 1533-position model. The record is from RNAcentral.
GAAUUCGCCCUUAGAGUUUCUUUCUGGCUCAGGAUGAACGCUGGCGGCGUGCUUAACACAUGCAAGUCGAACGAAGCACUGAAGAAUGGAGAUUCAUCAAAGUUCUUCUUUGACUGAGUGGCGAACGGGUGAGUAAUGCGUGAGCAACCUGCCCUUCAGAGGGGGACAACAGUAUGGAAACGACUGCUAAUACCGCAUGACGUGUUCGGGAGGCAUCUCUUGGAUACCAAAGGAGAAAUCCGCUGAAGGAUGGGCUCACGUCUGAUUAGCUAGUUGGCGGGGCAACGGCCCACCAAGGCGACGAUCAGUAGCCGGACUGAGAGGUUGAACGGCCACAUUGGGACUGAGAUACAGCCCAGACUCCUACGGGAGGCAGCAGUGGGGAAUAUUGGGCAAUGGGCGCAAGCCUGACCCAGCAACGCCGCGUGAGGGAAGAAGGCUUUCGGGUUGUAAACCUCUGUCCUUGGUGACGAAGGAAGUGACGGUACCCAAGGAGGAAGCCCCGGCUAACUACGUGCCAGCAGCCGCGGUAAUACGUAGAGGGCGAGCGUUGUCCGGAAUUACUGGGUGUAAAGGGUGCGUAGGUGGUCGUAUAAGUUGGAUGUGAAAUCCCCGGGCUUAACUUGGGGGGUGCAUCCAAUACUGUUUGUCUAGAGUGUAGGAGAGGUAAGCGGAAUUCCUAGUGUAGCGGUGAAAUGCGUAGAUAUCAGGAGGAACACCAGUGGCGAAGGCGGCUUGCUGGACGACAACUGACGUUGAGGCUCGAAAGCGUGGGGAGCAAACAGGAUUAGAUACCCUGGUAGUCCACGCCGUAAACG